AGCGAACGCUGGCGGCAGGCUUAACACAUGCAAGUCGAGCGCCCGGGCAACCGGGAGCGGCAGACGGGAGAGUAACACGUGGGAACGUGCCCUUCAGUUCGGAACAACCCAGGGAAACUUGGGCUAAUACCGGAUAAGCCCUUACGGGGAAAGAUUUAUCGCUGAAGGAUCGGCCCGCGUCUGAUUAGCUAGUUGGUGGGGUAAUGGCCCACCAAGGCGACGAUCAGUAGCUGGUCUGAGAGGAUGAUCAGCCUCACUGGGACUGAGACACGGCCAGACUCCUACGGGAGGCAGCAGUGGGGAAUAUUGGACAAUGGGCGCAAGCCUGAUCCAGCCAUGCCGCGUGGGUGAUGAAGGCCCUAGGGUUGUAAAGCCCUUUCGGCGGGGAAGAUAAUGACGGUACCCGCAGAAGAAGCCCC
Molecule: ribosomal RNA, 419 nt
Filed under: uncultured bacterium
Lineage: Bacteria
Description: bacterial SSU rRNA
Rfam family: Bacterial small subunit ribosomal RNA
Source: RNAcentral